GGUUUCAUGGUGUAGUUGGUUAUUAUACCGGUCUAACACAUUAGUGGUUCCCGGUUUGAGCCCGGGUGAAAGCA
This is a non-coding RNA of Tuber magnatum (white Piedmont truffle), 74 nucleotides long. The record is from the annotation of a GenBank genome assembly. Lineage: Eukaryota; Fungi; Ascomycota; Pezizomycetes; Pezizales; Tuberaceae.